CUUGUUCCCAGCUGAGCACUCAGGUACUAGGGUAGUAGUGUCUUGGCCUGGAAUCUGCCCAGCACACCAUGAAUCAUCAGUGGACAGGGUCUUCCAGAAGUCCUAUAGUCCAUCUCUGCUGCAGGCAGGGCUACUUCUGUUUAUCAGUGAUAAUCUCUAAGUAGGUACAGAAGAAAUCGUCACACCUUCAGGGUAACAUGUUACAUUUUGCAGAUCCUCCAUAGUGAGUUUUUUUCUUAGAUCUACCCUAAACCCUUCAGGAAACCUUUAAACAAAACAAAGCUAUAUUCUGAUGGCUUCUGGAUGGAGAAAUCAGGCCGGAUCAGCCCCACUCAGCUUUCCCUCACAGAAGUGAGGGCUCAGGCCUCCAGGCAGGAAGGGGACCCAUUCCCGUCACCUUGUGCCCUCUCUGGCAAGGCCCAGCCCACACCUGCCUUGGCCAGAGCUGCAGUUGUCCUUGGCACCCUAAAGGCCUGCAGAUAUUAGGUAACAGGUCUUGGCCAGACAUUCUGGUUUGGCAGGUACAAGCUACAAGUUAAAAAUUGUUCUAAAAAUGCAGCACAGCUGCCUAAACACACAGGCCUAGAGGAGAGGCUGUGGGCAGAGGCCACGGUCAGUAGAGGGAUGUGUUUUCCACAGGGACUUUGGGCCCAGAGCUCUGACCCAAGGGAAACAUCAACCUUGAGACCUGCUCCCCAGAGAUGGGACUUGUGGCCCUCAACCCUCUUAGCCGUUUUCUCUAGAAGUGACUCAGCUUCCGAGAGAAAGCUGCUCUGGCCCUGCCUGUCGCAGGGACACGCCUCCCCACCUGCCUCUGCGCUGGCGGUUUGCUUUUUUGCUAUUUUGAUGGUUUGUUGCAUUUCCAUACUUUUAGGCACCUUUGCCCUCCCUUACUUCUUAGUUUCUCUUCCCCUUCUUUCUUUUCCUCUUUUUUCUCUCUUGCCUCUUCUCCUCUAUACCCACUAGGUAAUGAGGGUGAGUUUUCCUUUCUCCUCCUGAAGCUCUGCCCUAAGCCUGUAGGACCCGGCCAGGGGAGGGAAGCAGCCUCUCGUCCCUCCUGUCUGCGACCCUGGGGAAUCCCCUCCGCCUCUCUGGGCCUGUGUCAAAUGGGACAAUAAUACCCACUUGAUCCUCUGCCUCACGCAAUGGCUGGGAAAAUCAAAACAGGGGACACUGACUUCUGUACACACACGUAAGGGCUUUUCAAAAGUUUGCUUCAGGCAGUUUGACUCACCGUGCGACGAAGGAGUAGGCGGUGGGGUCUCACCGUGUGUCUCAUUAGCCCUUUCCCACCUUGCUUGUUUGGGCUGCAGCUGAGUUCGAAAUGGCUGGCGGUAAGGCUGGGAAGGACUGCGGAAAGGCCAAGACAAAGGCGGUUCCCGCUGGCAGGGAGCCGGCUUGCAGUUCCCGGUGGGCCGCAUUCAUCCACACCUGAGAUCCGGGACGACCAGUCAUGGCCGAGAGGGCGCGGCCGCCGCCUGCACAGCGCAGCCAUCCUGCAGUGCCUCGCCGCCGCAGAGGUACUGGAAUUGGCAGGAAAUGCAUCAAAAGACUUAAAAGUAAAGCGUAUUACCCCUCGCCAUUUGCAACUUGCUGUUGGUGGAGACGAAGAAUUGGUCUCUCUUCAAGGCUACAAUUGCUGGUGGUGGUGUCAUUCCACACAUCCACAAGUGUCUGAUUGGGAAGAAAGGACAACAGAAGACUGUCUAAAGGAUGCCUGGAUUCCUUAUUGGCUCAGGACUCUAAAUACUCUAACAGCUGUCCAGUGUUGGUGAUUCCAGUGGGCUGUAUCUCUGUGAAAAACACAAUUUUACCUUUUUGUAAUUCUAUUUGAGCAAGUUGGAAGUUUAUUAGCUUUCCAACCAACCAAAUUUCUGCAUUCAAGUCUUAACCAUAUUUAUUUAUUUAUUUAUUUAUUUUUUGAGACAGAGUCUCACUUUU
Molecule: non-coding RNA, 1941 nt
Organism: Microcebus murinus (gray mouse lemur)
Lineage: Eukaryota; Metazoa; Chordata; Mammalia; Primates; Cheirogaleidae
Source: RefSeq, a predicted model, not a curated record